UUAAAUAUAUAUACCACCCUGAACACGCCCGAUCUCGUAAGCUAAACAGGGUUGGGACUGGUUAGUACUUGGAUGGGAAACCGCCUGGGAAUACUGGGUGCUGUAGG
RNAcentral lists this ribosomal RNA (107 nucleotides) under Peromyscus maniculatus bairdii (prairie deer mouse). The record is from RNAcentral. Lineage: Eukaryota; Metazoa; Chordata; Mammalia; Rodentia; Cricetidae.